AAGGAAGUCAUACUGGGUAUGAGGUUGGCUUGAAAGGGACUUUAGGGGCUUCAAUACCUCCCUUUCUUG
Molecule: transfer RNA, 69 nt
Filed under: Bradypus variegatus (Brown-throated sloth)
Lineage: Eukaryota; Metazoa; Chordata; Mammalia; Pilosa; Bradypodidae
Description: tRNA-Ser
Source: RNAcentral